Molecule: ribosomal RNA, 479 nt
Filed under: Nocardia levis
Lineage: Bacteria; Bacillati; Actinomycetota; Actinomycetes; Mycobacteriales; Nocardiaceae
Description: bacterial SSU rRNA
Rfam family: Bacterial small subunit ribosomal RNA
Source: RNAcentral
ACGGGUGAGUAACACGUGGGUGAUCUGCCUCGCACUUCGGGAUAAGCCUGGGAAACUGGGUCUAAUACCGGAUAUGACCAGGGACUGCAUGGUUUUUGGUGGAAAGAUUUAUCGGUGCGAGAUGGGCCCGCGGCCUAUCAGCUUGUUGGUGGGGUAAUGGCCUACCAAGGCGACGACGGGUAGCCGGCCUGAGAGGGCGACCGGCCACACUGGGACUGAGACACGGCCCAGACUCCUACGGGAGGCAGCAGUGGGGAAUAUUGCACAAUGGGCGAAAGCCUGAUGCAGCGACGCCGCGUGAGGGAUGACGGCCUUCGGGUUGUAAACCUCUUUCGACAGGGACGAAGCGCAAGUGACGGUACCUGUAGAAGAAGCACCGGCCAACUACGUGCCAGCAGCCGCGGUAAUACGUAGGGUGCGAGCGUUGUCCGGAAUUACUGGGCGUAAAGAGCUUGUAGGCGGUUUGUCGCGUCGUCUGU